CUCUAAUGAGACUGCCGGUGACAAACCGGAGGAAGGUGGGGAUGACGUCAGGUCAUCAUGGCCCUUAUGGGUAGGGCUACACACGUCAUACAAUGGCCGGGACAGAGGGCUGCCAACCCGCGAGGGGGAGCUAAUCCCAGAAACCCGGUCGUAGUCCGGAUCGUAGUCUGCAACUCGACUGCGUGAAGUCGGAAUCGCUAGUAAUCGCGGAUCAGCUUGCCGCGGUGAAUACGUUCCCGGGUCUU
Molecule: ribosomal RNA, 245 nt
Filed under: uncultured Burkholderiales bacterium
Lineage: Bacteria; Pseudomonadati; Pseudomonadota; Betaproteobacteria; Burkholderiales
Description: partial 16S ribosomal RNA
Rfam family: Bacterial small subunit ribosomal RNA
Source: RNAcentral